This 497-nucleotide ribosomal RNA is filed under the name uncultured bacterium. RNAcentral's name for it is "partial 16S ribosomal RNA". It matches the Rfam family "Bacterial small subunit ribosomal RNA", at positions 28 to 507 of the family's 1533-position model. The record is from RNAcentral.
GAUGAACGCUGGCGGCGUGCCUAAUACAUGCAAGUCGAGCGAACAGAUGAGGAGCUUGCUCCUCUGACGUUAGCGGCGGACGGGUGAGUAACACGUGGAUAACCUACCUAUAAGACUGGGAUAACUUCGGGAAACCGGAGCUAAUACCGGAUAAUAUAUUGAACCGCAUGGUUCAAUAGUGAAAGACGGUUUUGCUGUCACUUAUAGAUGGAUCCGCGCCGCAUUAGCUAGUUGGUAAGGUAACGGCUUACCAAGGCAACGAUGCGUAGCCGACCUGAGAGGGUGAUCGGCCACACUGGAACUGGAACACGGUCCAGACUCCUACGGGAGGCCGCAGUAGGGAAUCGUCCGCAAUGGGCGAAAGCCUGACGGAGCAACGCCGCGUGAGUGAUGAAGGUCUUCGGAUCGUAAAACUCUGUUAUUAGGGAAGAACAAAUGUGUAAGUAACUAUGCACGUCGUGACGGUACCUAAUCAGAAAGCCACGGCUAACUACGUG